Long non-coding RNA from Populus euphratica (Euphrates poplar), 723 nucleotides. RefSeq lists it as uncharacterized. The transcript is spliced from 3 exons. The record is from RefSeq and is a predicted model, not a curated record. NCBI's taxonomy places the organism in Eukaryota, Viridiplantae, Streptophyta, Magnoliopsida, Malpighiales, Salicaceae.
AAAAUUUCAAUUUAUUAAUUUCCAAAUGACAGCAAAACAGAAACAAAAUUUUGCCAAGGAGAAAACCCAUUUAUGCUUCUUCUUCUUCUACUCACCCUGAACUUCGAUCUAUAAAACGAGGUGCUUGUGCUUCUUCUUGUAGUAGUAGUAGUGAAGGAUGGCGAGACCGUGGGUACUGGUCUCUUUGCUAUUGUUAAUUGUGUUCACGUCUCAGUUAGAGUGGAAACAACAAUUUGGUAAUGAAAUUGAAGCAAGUCCAAACAUUUCCUUGAAAGACCAACAACAACAAUUUAGUUUGAAUCGAGAAGAAGUUGUCAAAGAAAAGAUAAUCCUUUCUCAAGAAAAGAACAUUCAGAAACUUAAUGAGCUUGUCCAGAGUCUCCGGGAACAGUUGAAGCAGUGUAGGAGUGAAAAUUACAUUCUCAACAGCACUGCGAUCCCUUUGACUGAACAUCUAAAUGGAGUUUGAACAGCAACCAAUAUUGGAGGACCAAACAUGGACCGCACACUUUUAACAUUGAUAUGUAUGGUAUGUGCUUUAGACAAACCUGGUAUUUCUAUCUCGGCAAUUUAACUUUACUAGGAGAUGAUCCCUGUUAUUUUAUCUGACUCGUAUAAUACAGUCAUUAUCCACAUUUUCGUAUGUUAAUAUUAAGUGGAUUUAUAAAGCCUAUACCCUAGUCUUCACUAUUUUGGAUGAAAUCUAUAAUAUUCUGCAUCCAA